Long non-coding RNA from Mus musculus (house mouse), 639 nucleotides. RefSeq annotates it as predicted gene, 41403. The record is from RefSeq and is a predicted model, not a curated record. The transcript is spliced from 2 exons. NCBI's taxonomy places the organism in Eukaryota, Metazoa, Chordata, Mammalia, Rodentia, Muridae.
CCUGCCCCUGCCCGUCACCCUUCUAGGGCCCCUCUGUGUGGCUGUGCCCUGCCCUCUCUCCACCCGGUGACCGAUGCUGGUGAAUCACAGCUGCCCCUCCAACCCUAACCCUGAAGCGGCCCUCACCAGCCCCCUAUCUGGGGACUCCUGCUUUCGGCACUCUCCACCUGAGCGUGGAUCAUGGUCUAUUUUAAAACCUCAGUCUUUGGACCUCCACACUCUGUGACACUGAAAGCUCCCUGAAGCAGAACUUUCUCCUUUUCUCCUCACGUCCACUUUCCAGGGCACAUUGAAUGUUAGCACAGAUCAUUCACAAAAGAAAAAAGAUCACUCACAAAGAAAUCAAGUGUGUCCCUAGGAGCCCAAUGGCUCCUCCCCUCCCCUUUCCUCCUCUUCCCUCCCAUCCUUCUGCUUCCUUCCUCUCUGGCUUAGUUCCUUCUCUAUUUCUAGGGUAAGUCACCAUGACCAAGGCAACUUCGAAAAGAAGGCAUUGUGGGGUUUACAGUUUCAGAGCGACGUGAGCUCUCAACGCUGAGCUUCCAGCUGCACCUGCCAUUCCAGCUCGCAACCCCUGACAUCCUGGACCCUAACCCUCUGAAACCGUAACCCCAAAAUAAACUUUUUCUUCUUCUUCUGUAA